This 325-nucleotide ribosomal RNA is filed under the name uncultured Bacillota bacterium. Its description in RNAcentral is "bacterial SSU rRNA". It matches the Rfam family "Bacterial small subunit ribosomal RNA", at positions 28 to 351 of the family's 1533-position model. Lineage: Bacteria; Bacillati; Bacillota. The record is from RNAcentral.
GAUGAACGCUGGCGGCGUGCCUAACACAUGCAAGUCGAGCGGAGAUGAGGGAGUUUACUUCUGAUUCUUAGCGGCGGACGGGUGAGUAACGCGUGGGCAACCUACCCUGUACAGGGGGAUAACAAUGGGAAACCAUUGCUAAUACCCCAUAACGCCUUUGAGGGGCAUCCCUUAAAGGUCAAAGAACUUCGGUACAGGAUGGGCCCGCGUCUGAUUAGCUAGUUGGUGAGGUAAUGGCUCACCAAGGCGACGAUCAGUAGCCGGCCUGAGAGGGUGAACGGCCACACUGGAACUGAGACACGGUCCAGACUCCUACGGGUGGCAG